This 1651-nucleotide long non-coding RNA is filed under the name Salmo salar (Atlantic salmon). Its description in RNAcentral is "lncRNA (ENSSSAG00000106994.1)". The record is from RNAcentral. Lineage: Eukaryota; Metazoa; Chordata; Actinopteri; Salmoniformes; Salmonidae.
CAGGUAGCUAGGGAUUGGCUGUCAUUUAAUUUAAAAUCCCUGUGUUUUGUGGCAGGAUUUGAACAGAGAAUGUCUCUCUGUGGGGGAAUCUGCCUUCUAUGAAGGUUGCCAUGUCAUGGGUGAUUGCACUGCACCAGUGUCUGACAGACAAGAAGUCUUACCGGCAAACUGGAGUGAGGAAGUGGAUGGUUGUACUGACGAUGAACUGGGGCUGUGGAGCUGAGUGGUGAUCUGAGAGUAGAGGACGAAGAGGCAUUUGUACAACUAGUAUCUCAGAGUUUAAGCUGUGCCAACACCGGAGGUGGGGCCAUCGGUGACGUUGCCAAGCAGAGUCUCAGAAUGGACACUUUCCAGGACAGGAAGCUGUGCGGAUCUGGAUAUCGCCAGACAAACAUUUAUAAAAUGUUUGUGAGGAUAUGGUUCUCAUCGGGCCCUAGAAAUCGAGAACCUAUCCCCACCAUGUUGUCUUGUCUGCCUUUUCCCCACCCUAUUUUUGUCCCUUAACAGGAGUCCUUUAGAAGGGUUGGUAGAGCAGGGCAAAGGUUGGGUCCCAUAUUGUGUGCAGAGUGAGAUUGUAAUGCUAUUCACCAUAUUGUUUGCAGUGCAUUCCCUUAGACUAACUAUAUUGUUGCAGUGCCAUAUCAGAAUAAUUCAGUGUGCAAUGUGUUGCAAGCCCGAUACUUACCUGAGGGAGUAAGGUGGAGGGUAACCUACCUGAGGGGAGACUCUAUUGUGUCGACGCAGUCUGGGAAUUUGUACAGUCUGCUGUGAGACAGGGUCCAAUCCAUGUUAACCCAUGUCUUGAAAAUAAGACUUACUUGUCUUGGCCUUCUGUGUUGGGGUCAGUUGCGGAUUUAGGUAUAGGAGACAUGGGCAGCUGUCCAAGGCGGCAUCUUGCCGGGGGCGGCAAGGGGCACCUGCACCAAAAACUCUGAAAGGUGACAUUUGCACGAUCUGUGUUCUAUUGCUCAUUUGCACGUCAGUGAUAUGUCACCGUGUGGGACUGUGGGUCAAUUAACCUUGUCGGAGUGGGAGCCCUGAUUCUAGUUUGUGAGCUAGGCAGCUACUUCCUGGGAAGGUCUCCCACUCAGAAGUACGAGAUGGGGUGGGGUAGGUUGACCUCAGGUCUCCCCACUCAAAUAGCGCACUUCUAACUUCCUAGUACUAAUGCAAUUAGUAAAAUCAGUCACACUAUGAAAUGCUACCUAAUAAACCACAAUUCAUUCAUAAUACUGUGACUAUAUAGUUUCACAGACAUAUUGUUGCAUUUUUUUCUGGUUUGUGUGAAAUUGUUAAUAUUAAACCAGUCUGCACAUCACCAAGGUGAAUUGGUUUAGUCUUGACUCUUGGAUGACAGUGUUGGGGGGUGGGUAAUAUAUUGAUGCACAAGUGCCAAAUCAACACAUUUGUUUUUAUUUAUCUUUGUUACUACUUUUUGAUAUUUUAGUCUUUGUAUAUAUUUAUAUAGUUUUAAAUGUUAUGAUAAUUUGUGGAGCUCCAAAUGUCUGUUAAAAAUGGGUGGGGGGGCGCUGAAGGGGGGUUCGCCCAGGGAGCCAUACAAGCUAGAACCUCCACUGGUUGGGGUUGUGUGCUGGAGCACAUUAAAUCCUUUGUUAGGUGGAGUUAUACUGGGUUCACACAAAACUGUGAC